Molecule: long non-coding RNA, 608 nt
Organism: Folsomia candida
Lineage: Eukaryota; Metazoa; Arthropoda; Collembola; Entomobryomorpha; Isotomidae
Exons: 2
Source: RefSeq, a predicted model, not a curated record
CUAGCCAUAAUUUUAGUUAAGUCGGUAUAUUACUUUAAACUAAGUUAGACGUUACACCAAUCAGGGUCAGACUGUACUAGCAUUUACUACAUUCCGGGUACUUUGUCCCGCCAAAAAAAAAGCUUGGCCCACGCUCCAAUUUUCCAUCGUCGUUGUAACAAGAGUGAGUGCCCGAGUGCGAAUUAAAACUAAAGUAUAUAUUAAUUAAUUUGCCUAAUAAUUAAUUAGUUGAAGCUCAAAUAUUCCACAAUUCCACACCAACUGUACUAGAUAUGGAAGAAACUGCUCGACUACUAUCGCAAUGUGGGCUGGAUUGCUAUUUUGAUACUUUCAAGGAAAAUGCAAUAACGGACGACGCGACGCGAGAAGAUUUGGCAACAAUUGUACCAAUACGAAACUUUGGAAGGAAUUCAGAAGUAGAAAAAUGGCACGAUUUACGUAUGUUUUCAAUGCAAAAAUUCCUAUCACCAUUACUCUCCGAUCACUUUAAAUAUGUGCAUAGGUUAUCAAAGUUAAGGCAAUUAUUUCAUAUUAUUUUUGGUUGUUUUGUAAUUGUGAUUUAAAGAGUUCAAGUGGAUUUAAUUGAAAUAAAUAUAUGCUAAUGAGGA